This 515-nucleotide ribosomal RNA is filed under the name uncultured bacterium. RNAcentral's name for it is "partial 16S ribosomal RNA". It matches the Rfam family "Bacterial small subunit ribosomal RNA", at positions 28 to 523 of the family's 1533-position model. The record is from RNAcentral.
GAUGAACGCUGGCGGCGUGCCUAAUACAUGCAAGUCGAGCGAAUGGAUUAAGAGCUCGCUCUUAUGAAGUUAGCGGCGGACGGGUGAGUAACACGUGGGUAACCUGCCCAUAAGACUGGGAUAACUCCGGGAAACCGGGGCUAAUACCGGAUAACAUUUUGAACCGCAUGGUUCGAAAUUGAAAGGCGGCUUCGGCUGUCACUUAUGGAUGGACCCGCGUCGCAUUAGCUAGUUGGUGAGGUAACGGCUCACCAAGGCAACGAUGCGUAGCCGAGCUGAGAGGGUGAGCGGCCAGACGGGGACUGGGACACGGGCCAGACUCCUACGGGAGGCAGCAGUAGGGAAUCUUCCGAAAUGGACGAAAGUCUGACGGAGCAACGCCGCGUGAGUGAUGAAGGCUUUCGGGUCGUAAAACUCUGUUGUUAGGGAAGAACAAGUGCUAGUUGAAUAAGCUGACACCUUGACGGUACCUAACCAGAAAGCCACGGCUAACUACGUGCCAGCCGCCGCAGUAA